ACAGCAGUAGCCACGGGAAUACGUAGGGUGCAAGCGUUAAUCGGAAUUACUGGGCGUAAAGCGUGCGCAGGCGGUUUGUUAAGACAGAUGUGAAAUCCCCGGGCUCAACCUGGGAACUGCAUUUGUGACUGGCAAGCUAGAGUCUGGCAGAGGGGGGUGGAAUUCCGUGUGUAGCAGUGAAAUGCGUAGAUAUGCGGAGGAACACCGAUGGCGAAGGCAGCCCCCUGGGCCAACACUGACGCUCAUGCACGAAAGCGUGGGGAGCAAACAGGAUUAGAUACCCGCGUAGUCCCUGUCUCUUAUAC
This 305-nucleotide ribosomal RNA is filed under the name uncultured bacterium. Its description in RNAcentral is "partial 16S ribosomal RNA". It matches the Rfam family "Bacterial small subunit ribosomal RNA", at positions 505 to 807 of the family's 1533-position model. The record is from RNAcentral.